GGGUUGUGAGGUUAAGCGACUAAGCGUACACGGUGGAUGCCCUGGCAGUCAGAGGCGAUGAAGGACGUGCUAAUCUGCGAAAAGCGUCGGUAAGGUGAUAUGAACCGUUAUAACCGGCGAUGUCCGAAUGGGGAAACCCAGUGCAAUUCGUUGCACUAUCGUUAACUGAAUACAUAGGUUAACGAGGCGAACCGGGGGAACUGAAACAUCUAAGUACCCCGAGGAAAAGAAAUCAACCGAGAUUCCCCCAGUAGCGGCGAGCGAACGGGGAGCAGCCCAGAGUCUGAAUCAGCUUGUGUGUUAGUGGAACGGUCUGGAAAGUCCGACGGUACAGGGUGAUAGUCCCGUACACCAAAAUGCACAGGUUGUGAACUCGAAGAGUAGGGCGGGACACGUGGUAUCCUGUCUGAAUAUGGGGGGACCAUCCUCCAAGGCUAAAUACUCCUGACUGACCGAUAGUGAACCAGUACCGUGAGGGAAAGGCGAAAAGAACCCCGGCGAGGGGAGUGAAAAAGAACCUGAAACCGUGUACGUACAAGCAGUGGGAGCACCUUCGGGUGUGACUGCGUACCUUUUGUAUAAUGGGUCAGCGACUUAUAUUCUGUAGCAAGGUUAACCGUAUAGGGGAGCCGCAGGGAAACCGAGUCUUAACUGGGCGUUAAGUUGCAGGGUAUAGACCCGAAACCCGGUGAUCUAGCCAUGGGCAGGUUGAAGGUUGGGUAACACUAACUGGAGGACCGAACCGACUAAUGUUGAAAAAUUAGCGGAUGACUUGUGGCUGGGGGUGAAAGGCCAAUCAAACCGGGAGAUAGCUGGUUCUCCCCGAAAGCUAUUUAGGUAGCGCCUCGUGAACUCAUCUUCGGGGGUAGAGCACUGUUUCGGCUAGGGGGUCAUCCCGACUUACCAACCCGAUGCAAACUACGAAUACCGAAGAAUGUUAUCACGGGAGACACACGGCGGGUGCUAACGUCCGUCGUGAAGAGGGAAACAACCCAGACCGCCAGCUAAGGUCCCAAAGUCAUGGUUAAGUGGGAAACGAUGUGGGAAGGCACAGACAGCCAGGAUGUUGGCUUAGAAGCAGCCAUCAUUUAAAGAAAGCGUAAUAGCUCACUGGUCGAGUCGGCCUGCGCGGAAGAUGUAACGGGGCUAAACCAUGCACCGAAGCUGCGGCAGCGACACUAUGUGUUGUUGGGUAGGGGAGCGUUCUGUAAGCCUGCGAAGGUGACCUGUGAGGGUUGCUGGAGGUAUCAGAAGUGCGAAUGCUGACAUAAGUAACGAUAAAGCGGGUGAAAAGCCCGCUCGCCGGAAGACCAAGGGUUCCUGUCCAACGUUAAUCGGGGCAGGGUGAGUCGACCCCUAAGGCGAGGCCGAAAGGCGUAGUCGAUGGGAAACAGGUUAAUAUUCCUGUACUUGGUGUUACUGCGAAGGGGGGACGGAGAAGGCUAUGUUAGCCGGGCGACGGUUGUCCCGGUUUAAGCAUGUAGGCUGGUUAUCCAGGCAAAUCCGGAUAAUCAAGGCUGAGGUGUGAUGACGAGGCACUACGGUGCUGAAGUAACAAAUGCCCUGCUUCCAGGAAAAGCCUCUAAGCAUCAGGUAACAUCAAAUCGUACCCCAAACCGACACAGGUGGUCAGGUAGAGAAUACCAAGGCGCUUGAGAGAACUCGGGUGAAGGAACUAGGCAAAAUGGUGCCGUAACUUCGGGAGAAGGCACGCUGGUGUGUAGGUGAAGUCCCUGCGGAUGGAGCUGAGACCAGUCGAAGAUACCAGCUGGCUGCAACUGUUUAUUAAAAACACAGCACUGUGCAAACACGAAAGUGGACGUAUACGGUGUGACGCCUGCCCGGUGCCGGAAGGUUAAUUGAUGGGGUUAUCCGUAAGGAGAAGCUCUUGAUCGAAGCCCCGGUAAACGGCGGCCGUAACUAUAACGGUCCUAAGGUAGCGAAAUUCCUUGUCGGGUAAGUUCCGACCUGCACGAAUGGCGUAAUGAUGGCCAGGCUGUCUCCACCCGAGACUCAGUGAAAUUGAACUCGCUGUGAAGAUGCAGUGUACCCGCGGCAAGACGGAAAGACCCCGUGAACCUUUACUAUAGCUUGACACUGAACAUUGAGCCUUGAUGUGUAGGAUAGGUGGGAGGCUUUGAAGCGUGGACGCCAGUCUGCGUGGAGCCAACCUUGAAAUACCACCCUUUAAUGUUUGAUGUUCUAACGUUGGCCCCUGACCGGGGUUGCGGACAGUGUCUGGUGGGUAGUUUGACUGGGGCGGUCUCCUCCCAAAGCGUAACGGAGGAGCACGAAGGUUAGCUAAUCCUGGUCGGACAUCAGGAGGUUAGUGCAAUGGCAUAAGCUAGCUUGACUGCGAGCGUGACGGCGCGAGCAGGUGCGAAAGCAGGUCAUAGUGAUCCGGUGGUUCUGAAUGGAAGGGCCAUCGCUCAACGGAUAAAAGGUACUCCGGGGAUAACAGGCUGAUACCGCCCAAGAGUUCAUAUCGACGGCGGUGUUUGGCACCUCGAUGUCGGCUCAUCACAUCCUGGGGCUGAAGUAGGUCCCAAGGGUAUGGCUGUUCGCCAUUUAAAGUGGUACGCGAGCUGGGUUUAGAACGUCGUGAGACAGUUCGGUCCCUAUCUGCCGUGGGCGCUGGAGAAUUGAGGGGGGCUGCUCCUAGUACGAGAGGACCGGAGUGGACGCAUCACUGGUGUUCGGGUUGUCAUGCCAAUGGCACUGCCCGGUAGCUAAAUGCGGAAGAGAUAAGUGCUGAAAGCAUCUAAGCACGAAACUUGCCCCGAGAUGAGUUCUCCCUGAGACUUUAAGUCUCCUGAAGGAACGUUGAAGACGACGACGUUGAUAGGCCGGGUGUGUAAGCGCAGCGAUGCGUUGAGCUAACCGGUACUAAUGAACCGUGAGGCUUAACCUUACAACGCCGAAG
This 2923-nucleotide ribosomal RNA is filed under the name Klebsiella pneumoniae. Its description in RNAcentral is "bacterial LSU rRNA". It matches the Rfam family "Bacterial large subunit ribosomal RNA". Lineage: Bacteria; Pseudomonadati; Pseudomonadota; Gammaproteobacteria; Enterobacterales; Enterobacteriaceae. The record is from RNAcentral.